Long non-coding RNA from Etheostoma spectabile (orangethroat darter), 120 nucleotides. RefSeq lists it as uncharacterized. Lineage: Eukaryota; Metazoa; Chordata; Actinopteri; Perciformes; Percidae. The record is from RefSeq and is a predicted model, not a curated record. The transcript is spliced from 3 exons.
UACAAUACAGUAAUAAAUAAAGAAAAGACCUUUACGACAGCAGGUGUGGUAAAAACACUACAGCUUUGGUCAAAGCGGCCGCUGGAAUCUACACAAACUGAAAGUUACUAAUAGCCACUU